RNAcentral lists this ribosomal RNA (305 nucleotides) under uncultured bacterium. RNAcentral describes it as "bacterial SSU rRNA". It matches the Rfam family "Bacterial small subunit ribosomal RNA", at positions 334 to 656 of the family's 1533-position model. The record is from RNAcentral.
GAUGCCUACGGGGCGCAGCAGCGGGGGAUAUUGCACAAUGGGGGAAACCCUGAUGCAGCGACGCCGCGUGUGGGAAGACGGUCCUCUGGACUGUAAACCACUGUCCCCAGGGACGAAAAUGACGGUACCUGGGGAGGAAGCUCCGGCUAACUACGUGCCGGCAGCCGCGGUAAUACGUAGGGAGCGAGCGUUGUCCGGAAUUACUGGGUGUAAAGGGAGCGUAGGCGGGGAUGCAAGUUGGGUGUCAAAACUACCGGCUCAACUGGUAGUCGCACUCAAAACUGCAGCUCUUGAGUGAAGUAGAG